GACGAACGCUGGCGGCGUGCCUAAUACAUGCAAGUUGAGCGCUGAAGGUUGGUACUUGUACCAACUGGAUGAGCAGCGAACGGGUGAGUAACGCGUGGGUAAUCUGCCUUUGAGCGGGGGACAACAUUUGGAAACGAAUGCUAAUACCGCAUAAAAACUUUAAACACAAGUUUUAAGUUUGAAAGAUGCAAUUGCAUCACUCAAUGAUGAUCUCGCGUUGUAUUAGCUGGUUGGUGAGGUAAAGGCUCACCAAGGCGAUGAUACAUAGCCGACCUGAGAGGGUGAACGGCCACAUUGGGACUGGGACACGGCCCAAAAUCCUACGGGAGGCAGCAGUAGGGAAUCUUCGGCAAUGGACGGAAGGCUGAACGAGCAACGCCGCGUGAGUGAAGAAGGUUUUCGGGUCGGAAAACUCUGUUGGUAGAGAAGAACGUUGGUGGGAGUGGAAAGCUCAUCAAGUGACGGUAACUACCCAGAAAGGGACGGCUAACUACGUG
This 497-nucleotide ribosomal RNA is filed under the name uncultured bacterium. RNAcentral's name for it is "partial 16S ribosomal RNA". It matches the Rfam family "Bacterial small subunit ribosomal RNA", at positions 28 to 507 of the family's 1533-position model. The record is from RNAcentral.